AGGCUAAGGUUGUGGCCAAGGUUUACUGGGGUGAUCCAAGGGAGAAGUUGUGUGAUGCUGUGCAAGAUCUCAAGCUUGAUUCGCUUGUUGUUGGAAGCAGGGGCUUAGGCCUCAUUAAAAGGGUGUUGCUUGGCAGUGUUAGCAACUAUGUGGUGACUAAUGCUUCAUGUCCAGUUACAGUGGUCAAGGGCACGACAUCAUCCAAACCCUAAAUCGUACUCAUUUCAUGAUAUCUAAAAGCUUAGGUCUCUAUCUGCAAAGAAGGAGUACUUGUACACUGGAAACUUCAAGGGAUAUAAGGCCUUUGAUCGAUGUGUUCUUUUUCUUUUGUUAUUUUAGUUGUUUUUAUUUUCUAUUUUUUGGAUUGAUGGGAGUGGACUUUAUGAUUGUUCAACUUUAUUUACGCUCUUUGGCUAAGUUUUUUUUA
Molecule: non-coding RNA, 427 nt
Organism: Prunus avium (sweet cherry)
Lineage: Eukaryota; Viridiplantae; Streptophyta; Magnoliopsida; Rosales; Rosaceae
Source: RefSeq, a predicted model, not a curated record